GGGUUAUAUAUCUGAGCUGUUUGCUCUGUGGUGGAGGCAAAACACAGUGUAGGUAAAAAAAGAGGUUUCUGAAAUGUUUGAGUUGCUAUUCUGAAACUUCCAAUACAAAAUACGUUUCUAAUGAAUUAUCUUAAAUUAAAGUUUAAUGGCCCCUAAAUUGUAUAUAAAGUACUAGCACAAAAGCAGGCUGUGUGCAGAUAAACAUCAUUAGUGUGUGAGUAGGAAAAGUUCUUUAGCUUCUAUUUCCCUCUGGGUUUUCUAACAGCUCCGUGGGUCCUUUUCUGCCUAAUGUGAAUGCCAAUGUACUUUUCUUUCCAACUUCCCCAGUGAACCUCCUGUGUUAAUAGCUGGAUUUUGACUUGCCACUCCUGAAAAAAACAAAAGGGAUCGUUCUUUGCUGACGCACAACUUCACCUGCCAUCUGCACAUGCUCACUCUGGCAGCUCCUCGUGAUCCUUCAACUCGCAGGAAAUCCUUAGAGGAAUAAAAAGGACAGGCCCACCCCCACAGCAGAGUGAGCUCCCAGCUGAGUCACAUCAGUGGGACGAACGCUGACACGUGUAUUGACAAGCCUGUUUCAUACUCAAGUGCCCCUGCAAAUCAGCACAUGGCUGCUUGGAAGCCGGGCAGUCCCCCACGCUGGGUGGGAUUCUGCCUUCUCAACCGUUCUUCUAGUUGGGGUGGAAGCCUCCCUUUAUCCAGCCAACCUUUCUGGAGAAAGUGGGGUGGACGAGAGGGGUAAAAGGGAGUACUGAGGCCUGGAUGCCGAGAAGGCUACUGUAGGAACGUAGCCUUCUGGUCUGCUCACUGCUACCAUCCACACCAGUCCACAUGGCCACACCCUGAGUGGCCUGGUCCCAGAGCAGCUGUUUGGACGGCUUGUGUGGUCAUACCACGCCUCGCUGAUUUGGACUAAUGACUUAAAGGAGAGACAAGCUUCAUGGACCUGGGGAUCUGUUCGUAAAGAUUCUUCAAAUCUUCAUCUGGGAGCCUUUUAUGGAGCAGGUGGGUAGCUUUCUGGAGCCACGAGCUUAUAUCAGAGACCAUCUUCCCCUUGGAAUAUAGCAGCUGACUGAAAACGAAGUUAACCCUAAUACCAUGUACCA
Molecule: long non-coding RNA, 1106 nt
Organism: Acinonyx jubatus (cheetah)
Lineage: Eukaryota; Metazoa; Chordata; Mammalia; Carnivora; Felidae
Exons: 3
Source: RefSeq, a predicted model, not a curated record